Molecule: non-coding RNA, 135 nt
Filed under: pig gut metagenome
Description: glmS glucosamine-6-phosphate activated ribozyme
Rfam family: glmS glucosamine-6-phosphate activated ribozyme aptamer
About the family: This entry contains a glucosamine-6-phosphate activated ribozyme that is found in the mRNA for GlmS. GlmS is an enzyme that uses fructose-6-phosphate and glutamine to generate glucosamine-6-phosphate. The ribozyme catalyses self cleavage of the glmS mRNA that is thought to regulate GlmS activity.
Source: RNAcentral
GAAAAAAGCGCCGGGACUGCCUGCGGGCAGUUGACGAGGUGGGGGAGGAUCGAACCAUUCGGCGGAUGCCCCCUGCGCAUUGACGCCUGGCCAUGAAGCGGAGGAGAGAAAAAGGGCGGGUGACCGCCGUGACAA